UACGAAGGUCCCAAGCGUUAUCCGGAUUUAUUGGGUUUAAAGGGUGCGUAGGCGGCUUAUUAAGUCAGUGGUGAAAGCUCCAUGCUUAACAUGGAAAUUGCCAUUGAUACUGAUGAGCUUGAGUAUAUUUGAAGUGGGCGGAAUGUGUCGUGUAGCGGUGAAAUGCUUAGAUAUGGCACAGAACACCGAUUGCGUAGGCAGCUCACUAAACUAUAACUGACGCUGAGGCACGAAAGCAUGGGGAUCAAACAGG
RNAcentral lists this ribosomal RNA (253 nucleotides) under uncultured bacterium. RNAcentral describes it as "partial 16S ribosomal RNA". It matches the Rfam family "Bacterial small subunit ribosomal RNA", at positions 524 to 776 of the family's 1533-position model. The record is from RNAcentral.